GGUUAGGUCUAAUCGGAGGCUUGGCCUAUUCAGUCCGGUUUGACUAAAAUAGGAAAGGAGAGAUUUGGCUUGGGUCGACUUGGAUCAAUCAAUAUAUCUAGUCUAAAAUGAAUGGACUCGGCCCACAAUGGAUGAACAGGGCCCACGAGGAAUAAGGCCCACAAUAGAUGAGCAGAAACCAAAAUGACAGAUCACGGCCUAAAAUGAACAUGACCCACAAUGGAUGAACAGAGCCCAAAAUGAAUACGACCCACAAUAGACACGGCCCAUAAUAGGUGAAUAGGGUCCAAAAUGAAUAGGACCCACAAUAGAUGAAUAGGGCCAACAAGGCCUAAAAGGAAUACAGUCCAUAAUGGGUAAGUAGGGCCCAAUAGGAUUAUGGCC
RNAcentral lists this long non-coding RNA (384 nucleotides) under Phoenix dactylifera (date palm). RNAcentral describes it as "long non-coding RNA (PDAC_LNC009270)". Lineage: Eukaryota; Viridiplantae; Streptophyta; Magnoliopsida; Arecales; Arecaceae. The record is from RNAcentral.